RNAcentral lists this ribosomal RNA (248 nucleotides) under uncultured Actinomycetales bacterium. RNAcentral describes it as "partial 16S ribosomal RNA". It matches the Rfam family "Bacterial small subunit ribosomal RNA", at positions 85 to 334 of the family's 1533-position model. Lineage: Bacteria; Bacillati; Actinomycetota; Actinomycetes; Actinomycetales. The record is from RNAcentral.
GGGUGCUCGAGUGGCGAACGGGUGAGUAACACGUGAGUAACCUGCCCUUGGCUUUGGGAUAACUUCAGGAAACUGGGGCUAAUACCGGAUAGGAACUCCUGCUGCAUGGUGGGGGUUGGAAAGUUUCGGCGGUUGGGGAUGGACUCGCGGCUUAUCAGCUUGUUGGUGGGGUAGUGGCUUACCAAGGCUUUGACGGGUAGCCGGCCUGAGAGGGUGACCGGCCACAUUGGGACUGAGAUACGGCCCAG